This 253-nucleotide ribosomal RNA is filed under the name uncultured bacterium. RNAcentral's name for it is "partial 16S ribosomal RNA". It matches the Rfam family "Bacterial small subunit ribosomal RNA", at positions 524 to 776 of the family's 1533-position model. The record is from RNAcentral.
UACGGAGGGGGUUAGCGUUGUUCGGAAUGACUGGGCGUAAAGGGUGCGUAGGCGGGUCUUUAAGUCAGGGGGGAAAUCCUGGAGCUCAACUCCAGAACUGCCUUUGAUACUGAAGAUCUUGAGUUCGGGAGAGGUGAGUGGAACUGCGAGUGUAGAGGUGAAAUUCGUAGAUAUUCGCAAGAACACCAGUGGCGAAGGCGGCUCACUGGCCCGAUACUGACGCUGAGGCACGAAAGCGUGGGGAGCAAACAGG